AGCAGCCGCGGUAAUUCCAGCUCCAAUAGCGUAUAUUAAAGUUGUUGCAGUUAAAAAGCUCGUAGUUGAAUUUCGGGGUUCAUACGUUGGUCGGGCUUUUUGGUCUGUACUAGCGUAAUGGAUUCCUACCUUCUGAAUAACCGGCAUGCCAUUAAUUUGGUGCGCCGGGGAAGCAGGACUGUUACCUUGAAAAAAUUAGAGUGCUUAAAGCAGGCUAUAGCUUGAAUACAUUAGCAUGGAAUAAUGAAAUAGGACGUUUGAUCCUAUUUUGUUGGUUUCUAGGAUUGACGUAAUGAUUAAUAGGGAUAGUUGGGGGCAUUAGUAUUCAAUUGUCAGAGGUGAAAUUCUUGGAUUUAUUGAAGACUAACUACUGCGAAAGCAUUUGCCAAGGAUGUUUUCAUUAAUCAAGAACGAAAGUUAGGGAUCGAAGACGAUCAGAUACCGUCGUAGUCUUAACCAUAAACUAUGACCGACUAGGGAUCGGAUGAUGUUAAUUUUUAUGUACUUCAUUCGGCGCCUU
RNAcentral lists this ribosomal RNA (520 nucleotides) under uncultured Acaulospora. RNAcentral's name for it is "SSU rRNA". It matches the Rfam family "Eukaryotic small subunit ribosomal RNA", at positions 569 to 1089 of the family's 1831-position model. Lineage: Eukaryota; Fungi; Glomeromycota; Glomeromycetes; Diversisporales; Acaulosporaceae. The record is from RNAcentral.